GGAAGAAAAGCCUUGGGUUAAUACCCUGGGGUCAUGACGGUACCGUAAGAAUAAGCACCGGCUAACUUCGUGCCAGCAGCCGCGGUAAUACGAAGGGUGCAAGCGUUACUCGGAAUUACUGGGCGUAAAGCGUGCGUAGGUGGUCUGUCAAGUCCGAUGUGAAAGCCCUGGGCUCAACCUGGGAACUGCAUUGGAAACUGGCAGUCUGGAGUGCGGUAGAGGGUAGCGGAAUUCCCGGUGUAGCAGUGAAAUGCGUAGAUAUCGGGAGGAACAUCCGUGGCGAAGGCGGCUACCUGGACCAGCACUGACACUGAGGCACGAAAGCGUGGGGAGCAAACAGGAUUAGAUACCCUGGUAGUCCACGCCCUAAACGAUGCGAACUGGAUGUUGGGGGCACUUUGGCCUUCAGUAUCGAAGCUAACGCGUUAAGUUCGCCGCCUGGGGAGUACGGUCGCAAGACUGAAACUCAAAGGAAUUGACGGGGGCCCGCACAAGCGGUGGAGUAUGUGGUUUAAUUCGAUGCAACGCGCAGAACCUUACCUGGCCUUGACAUCCACGGAACCCUCCAGAGACGGAGGGGUGCCUUCGGGAACCGUGAGACAGGUGCUGCAUGGCUGUCG
This 620-nucleotide ribosomal RNA is filed under the name uncultured Lysobacter sp. Its description in RNAcentral is "bacterial SSU rRNA". It matches the Rfam family "Bacterial small subunit ribosomal RNA", at positions 443 to 1054 of the family's 1533-position model. The record is from RNAcentral. Lineage: Bacteria; Pseudomonadati; Pseudomonadota; Gammaproteobacteria; Lysobacterales; Lysobacteraceae.